UACGUAGGGUGCGAGCGUUGCCCGGAUUUAUUGGGCGUAAAGGGCGCGUAGGCGGCUCGGCACGUCCGUUGUGAAAUCGCCCGGCUCAACUGGGCGGGGUCAGCGGAUACGGUCGAGCUUGAGCAAGCUAGGGGGUAAUGGAAUUCCCGGUGUAGUGGUGGAAUGCGUAGAUAUCGGGAGGAACACCAGUGGCGAAGGCGGUUACCUGGGGCUUUGCUGACGCUGAUGCGCGAAAGCGUGGGGAGCGAUCCGG
This 253-nucleotide ribosomal RNA is filed under the name uncultured bacterium. RNAcentral describes it as "partial 16S ribosomal RNA". It matches the Rfam family "Bacterial small subunit ribosomal RNA", at positions 524 to 776 of the family's 1533-position model. The record is from RNAcentral.